CAAAGUGCUGGGAUUACAGGCAUGAGCCACCGUGCCUGGCCCAGAAAGGAAUGUUUUGUGAGGUAUGAAUGGUUAGUGUGCCUGGGGAGGCCCAUGCAAUGACCUGUUGGAGAAUCUGAUAGCAACAUGGUAAGGCCAGAGUGUGGUACAAUUGCAGGAAGAUGACUCAGGACCUCGGUACCCACAAACAGGAGGCAUCUAUGAGAGGGAGGCGGAGGUAUGCAGUGCCCGAUGGAGACUUUGGGAGGAAGAUCUAAGGAUGGACCUAGCCUUAGAUCUUUGGUCCCCCAGUGAUCAAGAGAGCUCAGAGGAAAAGCUUUCAAACUUAGACCGGGGCAUAGAAAUAAAGGGAAUAACUCUUGAGAUGGUUUCUAAGAAAGAACUAAGUAGCCACACAUUGAUAACAACAGUCAUAUUCCCAGCCUCCCUGUGGUUCCUGACAUGGCUCUGGGCACCUAUGCUUGAGCCAGCAAGCUCAGGCUUCCCACGCUGGGAUCUGCAGACUCACCCCCAGACACCUAUGGAGUUUCAAAUUCUGUCUUUCCCUUUGAUUACUGUUUAAAAUUAGAUUUGUGGUUGCAGGUUCUGGGUCCUCUGGCCAGCCGCUGAGUACCAUAACAUGGUUUCACAAUCUACAUUGGCACUGUGUUUAGAUGGGAUUGGAGCCAAAUAAUGCUAUUUGCAUUGUCACAGGCUAGAGGGAAAAAGAAUAGAGGUGGACUUACUAUGUAAACAAGUAGAGACCAAAGGACGUCACAAAGCAUUGUAUGCCAAAUGUUUUCCUAGUCACUCAAAUGGAAAACUGGUGGAUACGCAGAGUUAACACACAGUCCAUGGGGUACAGGCAUGGAACAUGCUCAAGAAAAAAUAUCUGCCCACAACCCCCAGAGGGAGGUGCAGAUGCCAACCAAGCAAGCCAGAGUCAGGAUCUGGUUCCUGGAGGCUGAAAUCCAGGGAAGCCAGAGAGGAGAGAGCCAGAAGAUGAGUGAGUAUCCAUAUUCUUCAACAGCAGUCCAGUGCUAAGACAGGGCAUGAGGACCAGCUCCACCGGAAACACCAGCCAGCAUCUUAACCGGGGAGGAAGGAAGGUGUGUGCUGGGCAAGUGGGGCACGUGACAGAGUGGAACUGAAGUGGCCGUCACUUGCCCUUAGGCCAGUAGGUUCCUCAGCAGCCUCUGCCCAUAGGCUGGCUUAACUAUGAUCCUGCUAUGGGAAGA
Molecule: long non-coding RNA, 1217 nt
Organism: Macaca mulatta (Rhesus monkey)
Lineage: Eukaryota; Metazoa; Chordata; Mammalia; Primates; Cercopithecidae
Source: RefSeq, a predicted model, not a curated record